CCCCUCAGAUCCACAAAAGGCCUCCAAUCAUUGAGAACUGUGGGCAGGAACAGACAUCUGGGGAUGGACGGGACAUGAAUCCAGAGCGUCUCAGCCAGUCUGGAAGGGUGACUCGGCUGAUGGAGAGAAAUUAUGAUGGGGUGAUCUCAUCCUCCAACUCUGAUGACAUCUCUAUCUACUCCUUCACUGACUGUGAAUCUGAGUCUGAUGAGGAUCAUGAAAGGAGGACACCACCGCUGAUAGUGAAGGAUAAGGAGGAUGGAAAGGUGACAAAGUUUGAAGUGAGGGAAAUGGUAGAGGACGACAAUCUGUCUCUCCACUCCUUGGAUGAUUCAGACUUUCUGGUAUGUUCUGCACCAUGUAUUUGAGUAACUCUUUGACUGAAUGUGGAGAAUGGACUAUGACCAACUAGCUCUCUGACACAGUGUGAUAAUGGCAAUGAUGCCUCUGCUGAGGACAGUCCAGGGUCUUCAAAGGAACCACAGAGAAAAGGGGCUUCACUGAAGGACCCUCGACUGGUAUUCUCUUACAUUUGUGUGUUAGUGGUGCGCAAGUCAGCUGUUUGUUCAACCAAGCCCACCCGCAAUUGCUAAUAACCCAUCCGCAACCGCUUGACUAUAUGUGAAAAAGUGAAAACCUGACCCUAGUCCACAAAUAUAGAACACAUCAGAGAAG
Oncorhynchus tshawytscha (Chinook salmon) is the source of this 675-nucleotide long non-coding RNA. The record is from Ensembl. Lineage: Eukaryota; Metazoa; Chordata; Actinopteri; Salmoniformes; Salmonidae.